RNAcentral lists this ribosomal RNA (408 nucleotides) under uncultured bacterium. Its description in RNAcentral is "partial 16S ribosomal RNA". It matches the Rfam family "Bacterial small subunit ribosomal RNA", at positions 28 to 526 of the family's 1533-position model. The record is from RNAcentral.
GAUGAACGCUGGCGGCGUGCUUAACACAUGCAAGUCGAACGAAGUGGCGCACGGGUGUGUAAUACGUGGGUAACCCGCCCUCCUUUUUGGGAUAAGCCUCGGAAACGGGGUCUAAUACCGAAUAAAGGGGGUUGGGCUCGCGGCCUAUCAGCUUGUUGGGGGGGUGAUGGCCUACCAAGGCGGUGACGGGUAGCCGGCCUGCGAGGGUGACCGGCAACAUGGGAAGUGAGAUACGGCCCAGAGUCCUACCGGAGGGAGCAGUGGGGGAUUGUGCACAAUGGGCGAAAGCCUAGUGCGGCGACGCCGCGUGGGGGUUGAAGGUGUUCAGCUUGUAAACCUCUGACGAUAGCGAACGGGUAGGUGGAGAAGAAGCACCGGCUAACUACGUGCCAGCAGCCGCGGUAAUAC